UACGUAGGGGGCAAGCGUUGUCCGGAAUCAUUGGGCGUAAAGAGCGUGUAGGCGGCCCGAUAAGUCCGCUGUGAAAGUCCAGGGCUCAACCCUGGAAUGCCGGUGGAUACUGUCGGGCUCGAGUUCGGAAGAGGUGAGUGGAAUUCCUGGUGUAGCGGUGAAAUGCGUAGAUAUCUGGAGGAACACCGGUGGCGAAGGCGGCAUCCUGGACCGACAUUGACGCUGAGGCGCGAAAGCCAGGGGAGCAAACGGG
RNAcentral lists this ribosomal RNA (253 nucleotides) under uncultured bacterium. Its description in RNAcentral is "partial 16S ribosomal RNA". It matches the Rfam family "Bacterial small subunit ribosomal RNA", at positions 524 to 776 of the family's 1533-position model. The record is from RNAcentral.